This 834-nucleotide ribosomal RNA is filed under the name Verruciconidia persicina. RNAcentral describes it as "LSU rRNA". It matches the Rfam family "Eukaryotic large subunit ribosomal RNA", at positions 98 to 966 of the family's 3401-position model. The record is from RNAcentral. Lineage: Eukaryota; Fungi; Ascomycota; Sordariomycetes; Hypocreales; Bionectriaceae.
GCGGCAACAGCUCAAAUUUGAAAUCUGGCCCUAGGCCCGAGUUGUAAUUUGCAGAGGAUGUUUCUGGCGAGGUGCCUUCCGAGUUCCCUGGAACGGGACGCCAUAGAGGGUGAGAGCCCCGUACGGUUGGUCGCUAAGCCUCUGUGAAACUCCUUCGACGAGUCGAGUAGUUUGGGAAUGCUGCUCUAAAUGGGAGGUAUACGUCUUCUAAAGCUAAAUACCGGCCAGAGACCGAUAGCGCACAAGUAGAGUGAUCGAAAGAUGAAAAGCACUUUGAAAAGAGGGUUAAAUAGUACGUGAAAUUGUUGAAAGGGAAGCGCUUAUGACCAGACUUGGACCGGUUGAUCAUCCAUCGUUCUCGGUGGUGCACUCUGCCGGUUCAGGCCAGCAUCAGUUCGUCCCGGGGGAUAAAGGCUUUGGGAAUGUGGCUCUUCGGAGUGUUAUAGCCCAUUGCGUAAUACCCUGGGAUGGACUGAGGUUCGCGCUCCGCAAGGAUGCUGGCGUAAUGGUCAUCAGUGACCCGUCUUGAAACACGGACCAAGGAGUCGUCUUCGUAUGCGAGUGUUCGGGUGUCAAACCCCUACGCGUAAUGAAAGUGAACGUAGGAGAGAGCUUCGGCGCAUCUCCGACCGAUCCUGAUGUUCUCGGAUGGAUUUGAGUAAGAGCAUACGGGGCCGGACCCGAAAGAAGGUGAACUAUGCUUGUAUAGGGUGAAGCCAGAGGAAACUCUGGUGGAGGCUCGCAGCGGGUUCUGACGUGCAAAUCGAUCGUCAAAUAUGAGCAUGGGGGGCGAAAGACUAAUCGAACCUUCUAGUAGCUGGGUUUCCGCCGAAG